Molecule: unclassified non-coding RNA, 304 nt
Organism: Cebus imitator (Panamanian white-faced capuchin)
Lineage: Eukaryota; Metazoa; Chordata; Mammalia; Primates; Cebidae
Rfam family: Metazoan signal recognition particle RNA
About the family: The signal recognition particle (SRP) is a universally conserved ribonucleoprotein. It is involved in the co-translational targeting of proteins to membranes.
Source: Ensembl
GCCCUGUAAAGUGCACGGUACCACCUGCCUGUAGUCCCGGCUACUCAGGAGGCUGAAGCAGGAGGAUGAUUUGAGCCCAGGAAUUCUGGACCAUAGUGUGCUAUGCAGAUCAGGUGUCCUCACAAAGUUCAGCAUUAAUAUGGUGAAUUCCUGGGAGUGUGGGGCUACCAGGUUGCCUAAGAAGGGGUGAACCAGCCAAGGACGAAAACAGAGCAGGUCGGAACUUCCAUGCUGAUCAGUAGUGGGAACAUGCCUGUGAAUAACCACUGUACUCCAGCCGGGGAAGCAGAGAGACUCUGUCUCU